AUUGCCCGAUCAUCACGCCAACUCUGCCAGUGGUAGACAGUUCUGCUCUGCAUCAUCAGACCGCAUCCCCGACGGACACUGAUACGAUAAGCUUCCAGCAGGAAAUGCACCGCUUGACGCUUCUGAGCCGGCCU
This 134-nucleotide small RNA is filed under the name Lonsdalea britannica. RNAcentral's name for it is "isrN Hfq binding RNA". It matches the Rfam family "isrN Hfq binding RNA". The record is from RNAcentral. Lineage: Bacteria; Pseudomonadati; Pseudomonadota; Gammaproteobacteria; Enterobacterales; Pectobacteriaceae.